Molecule: non-coding RNA, 1388 nt
Organism: Agelaius phoeniceus (red-winged blackbird)
Lineage: Eukaryota; Metazoa; Chordata; Aves; Passeriformes; Icteridae
Source: RefSeq, a predicted model, not a curated record
GGGCGGCUCGGGGCUCUCGCAGCCUCGGUGGCCCCGGGGCAGCGGCAGGCGAGGAUGGAGGCGGCAGCGCGCAGGCUGGUCACCUGAACCUCCUUCAGAUCACCUGCAAACCUCUCCACCUUAACCAAAAGAUAAGAUGACUACUCUGUUGAAGAUCUACCUAGGAUUGCAGAAAGUGGACCCUAAUAUUCUUCUGUACAGCAAGGCUAGAAACCCUGAGAGACUGAAGUGAGGGAUAUGCAAAGGAAUGCCAGACUCCUUCAGGGAUCACACAUGGUUAAAAUUCAAUAUCCAGCACUGGAACAGAAAGCUUGGAAAGCCCCACUGAAGAAAGAGCAGCAGAAGCUGUCUAGCUUGGCUCUCUCUAUGCUGAUGAACUCGAGUUAAUCCAGCACAAAUAAACCUUGUCUCUGUCCAUGUCUGUUCCAUUGAGCAUCCAACUCAUCCCUGAUAGGACACAGGGGUGAGAGCAGCACCUGGGAACUCCCAGGGAAUCCUCAGGAAAUCCACACCUUGCAAAGAGAAAGGGUCAACUGGAUAGCAAAGGAUUGGGGGCACGAGGGGUACAAUCCCCCAUCAUCCCUCUGGAGAUGUCACAGAUUCUUUUCUCAACAUUAAUUCAGCUCACCUCAUGUCUCUAGCGUUUUCCAAUUAUUCUACAAGCAACAGAAGAGUUAAAGCAAAAAUUUUCUGAAUAAACCCAAAUUGAGCCCACAAUGUUACACUCCUACCAGAAAGAAAUUUCUUUUCCUAGCACACCUCCAAAACUUUUAACAUUCCCUUCUAGAUAUGGCACUUCAAAGCAGCAUUUCUGUUUCUUCAGUGUGUUCCAGUCGUAUUUCUGCCUUGGCUGUGCACACAAACCCCACAGCCAGGGAGUCUGCCUGUCUCAGCUUUCCUCUGAAAAUCCAGGUUUUGCAUGCACUCGCAGAAACACUGAUUAAAAUAAAAUGGCAAACAGUGACAAAUCAAAUCUCACUCAUCAGCAUUUCAGAUUUAUCAGAGGCUACAGUUUAAUGAUGCUUUAGAGGAAAUUCUCUUCAUUUGCAAGCACACAAAAUCCUGAGGCCCUCUCUGUUUAGUUACUGUGCUUUUUGCAGUUAAACCAUUCUUUCUGUUUACCACAGUAAUACUUGCUCUGAUCUAAUUCCCACAAGUUUUUGUUUAUUUUUGCCAUAUUCCUCUGACUUCUGUAGAUUGUGUGGUUUGUUGCUAUGUUUGUCUUCCUGCUGUCCCUCAGCAUUUCCCUCCCCUGUACCCAUCAUCACCCAUCCUGUAAUUACAGAAAUGUUAUUUUUUGAUAGACAGAUGCAUUGGGUUGCUGGCAGGAGUACUGCCAUUAUGCAGUCCAAAUACUGUGCAGAAUAUUAAAGAAUCAUACAAAUCAA